GACGAACGCUGGCGGCGUGCUUAACACAUGCAAGUCGAACGAAGAGCGAUGGAAGCUUGCUUCUAUCAAUCUUAGUGGCGAACGGGUGAGUAACGCGUAAUCAACCUGCCCUUCAGAGGGGGACAACAGUUGGAAACGACUGCUAAUACCGCAUACGAUCUAAUCUCGGCAUCGAGGAUAGAUGAAAGGUGGCCUCUACAUGUAAGCUAUCACUGAAGGAGGGGAUUGCGUCUGAUUAGCUAGUUGGAGGGGUAACGGCCCACCAAGGCGAUGAUCAGUAGCCGGUCUGAGAGGAUGAACGGCCACAUUGGGACUGAGACACGGCCCAGACUCCUACGGGAGGCAGCAGUGGGGAAUCUUCCGCAAUAGACGAAAGUCUGACGGAGCAACGCCGCGUGAGCGAUGACGGCCUUCGGGUUGUAAAGCUCUGUUAAUCGGGACGAAAGGCCUUCUUGCGAAUAGUGAGAAGGAUUGACGGUACCGGAAUAGAAAGCCACGGCUAACUACGUG
RNAcentral lists this ribosomal RNA (510 nucleotides) under uncultured bacterium. RNAcentral describes it as "partial 16S ribosomal RNA". It matches the Rfam family "Bacterial small subunit ribosomal RNA", at positions 28 to 507 of the family's 1533-position model. The record is from RNAcentral.